UGGUGGCGUGAGUUGUCUGGUUUAUUCCGUUAACGAACGAGACCUCGACCUGCUAAAUAGCUAGGCGGAUUCUAGGAUUCGUACUAGACUUCUUAGAGGGACUCCCGGUGGUGUACCCGGUGGAAGUUCGAGGCAAUAACA
This 141-nucleotide ribosomal RNA is filed under the name uncultured eukaryote. RNAcentral's name for it is "partial 18S ribosomal RNA". It matches the Rfam family "Eukaryotic small subunit ribosomal RNA", at positions 1299 to 1458 of the family's 1831-position model. The record is from RNAcentral.